ACAGCUCAAAUUUGAAAUCUGGCUCACGCCCGAAUUGUAAUUUGUAGAGGAUGCUUUUGGUGCGGUGCCUUCUGAGUUCCCUGGAACGGGACGCCGAAGAGGGUGAGAGCCCCGUAUAGUCGGACACCAAGCCUUUGUAAAGCUCCUUCGACGAGUCGAGUAGUUUGGGAAUGCUGCUCAAAAUGGGAGGUAAAUGCCUUCUAAAGCUAAAUACCGGCCAGAGACCGAUA
RNAcentral lists this ribosomal RNA (230 nucleotides) under Pleurophragmium septatum. Its description in RNAcentral is "Neomyrmecridium septatum partial large subunit ribosomal RNA". It matches the Rfam family "Eukaryotic large subunit ribosomal RNA", at positions 104 to 339 of the family's 3401-position model. Lineage: Eukaryota; Fungi; Ascomycota; Sordariomycetes. The record is from RNAcentral.